Molecule: ribosomal RNA, 253 nt
Filed under: uncultured bacterium
Lineage: Bacteria
Description: partial 16S ribosomal RNA
Rfam family: Bacterial small subunit ribosomal RNA
Source: RNAcentral
UACGUAGGGUGCGAGCGUUGUCCGGAAUUAUUGGGCGUAAAGAGCUCGUAGGCGGUUUGUCGCGUCUGCUGUGAAAACCCGAGGCUCAACCUCGGGCCUGCAGUGGGUACGGGCAGACUAGAGUGCGGUAGGGGAGAUUGGAAUUCCUGGUGUAGCGGUGGAAUGCGCAGAUGUCAGGAGGAACACCAAUGGCGAAGGCAGAUCUCUGGGCCGUAACUGACGCUGAGGAGCGAAAGCAUGGGGAGCGAACAGG